AAAGAAGUGGCGAUAUUCCUUACAAGGAUUCAAAUGUCACACGCAUAUUACAACACUCACUUGUUGGGAAUGCUCGUAGGGCCAUCAUAUGUACGCUUAGUUCAGCAAUGAGUCACUUUGAACAAUCUCCCAACACUCUCUCAUUUUCCACCCGUGCAAAGGAAGUCACUGACAAUGCCGAAGUGAAUAUGACUUAGCAGAAGGGGCGCUCCAUGCAUUUCGCUUGCAAGCAUUAGACCAGUGUACUAUUCUGAUCAGUUGGCCUACUCAGUUCAUCCUUUUGCUGGUUUUAGCUUCUUCUUUUUUGUGUGCAUGUAGGUCGAGUUUCAUGGAUUGUGUAAGAAAAUUCAUA
Papaver somniferum (opium poppy) is the source of this 352-nucleotide long non-coding RNA. RefSeq lists it as uncharacterized. NCBI's taxonomy places the organism in Eukaryota, Viridiplantae, Streptophyta, Magnoliopsida, Ranunculales, Papaveraceae. The transcript has 3 exons. The record is from RefSeq and is a predicted model, not a curated record.